GAGGAUGUAGCCAAGUGGUUAAGGCAGUGAAUUGUGAAUUUAUCAUGCACGGGUUCGACCCCGUUGAUCGCU
This is a non-coding RNA of Rhododendron simsii, 72 nucleotides long. NCBI's taxonomy places the organism in Eukaryota, Viridiplantae, Streptophyta, Magnoliopsida, Ericales, Ericaceae. The record is from the annotation of a GenBank genome assembly.